This 1179-nucleotide long non-coding RNA is filed under the name Zea mays. Its description in RNAcentral is "long non-coding RNA (ZMAY_LNC001957)". The record is from RNAcentral. Lineage: Eukaryota; Viridiplantae; Streptophyta; Magnoliopsida; Poales; Poaceae.
AGGCUUUAUACGAGAGGAUGAGUGACCAGACAUGAUUCUCAAGGACUUCCAGAAAUAGGAAAAGGACUUCAGCAUCUUUGAGCCAAUCAGAAACUUACAUUGGCAAAUCUCCUACCGUCUUAGGCAGGCAUAGUAAAGAUUUUUGAGAAACAGAUGGAGGAGGAGUUGAAUGAUCAGGACAAACCUGUUUUUUACGGUAAUCAGGACAAACAUGUUACUCAGUUUCUCCUUCUUCUCUUCCUCCUUUCCUUCCUCCACCAAGUCCUCUUGGUUGAGAUAGCAAUGCAGCAUGGAGUUCUCGAGCUUCUUUGGUCCGUCAUCAUGCUUGUGAACCUAGAGUCCAGCGCCAAUACGACCUCCUUCCUUGUCUGCCCCAUCUUCUCGCAAUCUCGCCUUACAGGCAGAGCAAUCCCAAGCUGCAAAGAACUCGGUAUCAAAAAAUAAGGAAAACACUAGGCGAUAAGCAAGGUCGGGGCAAUCUUCUACCAAUCCAGAAACUCUAACCAAUUGGAUGGACAAGAACAGUACAAAUGAUGAGCCAACGCACAUGGAUCCGGUGCACAGGUGGCAAGGAAAUCAGGGAACGAAGAAAAGGAACGGACGGAGAUGACAGAGUAAGGAGGAGAAAGGAGCUCCUGCCACCAGGCUGAGGGAAAAAGCAAGACACUAGCGGAGGGACUCUAUAUGCUGGUAGAAAGUAGCGGCAUGGGCGAUAUGGCGGAAGGACGGGAGAACAGCGAUCUGACGUUGUUAGAAACUCACCCGUGAUGCGGUGGACUCGAAGCACGCACGAAGGAAGACACGAGAAGGCUCAGAUUUGUGGGACUUUGGAAUCCGGUGAGCGAUCCCUACCUACCGGUAUGGGCACACGUAGCGAAACACAUCAGCGCGUGGGGACGACGAGAUCCAAGGCGAGACACGGAUGACGAGGGGCACUCACCGAGACUUACGACGACGUGUAGGCCGCCACGCGCGCGCCGUCUCUGGUCGGAGCGUUUUGACGAAGAUCUGACCGCCACGCACGCGCCGCCGUCCCCAAUCCGAGACGUCUAAACGGCGGCACGACGGACGGAACAGAGUCUUAGCGACGACAGCCACGUCCGAGUGUCCCACGCAGCGCGCAGAUGCCAAUGUGUGGAUAUCGGGAGGCGUGUCGCGGGCGGCAAUUUCCACGAGAGC